This 448-nucleotide ribosomal RNA is filed under the name Acremonium alternatum. RNAcentral's name for it is "SSU rRNA". It matches the Rfam family "Eukaryotic small subunit ribosomal RNA", at positions 553 to 1006 of the family's 1831-position model. Lineage: Eukaryota; Fungi; Ascomycota; Sordariomycetes; Hypocreales; Bionectriaceae. The record is from RNAcentral.
GGGCAAGUCUGGUGCCAGCAGCCGCGGUAAUUCCAGCUCCAAUAGCGUAUAUUAAAGUUGUUGUGGUUAAAAAGCUCGUAGUUGAACCUUGGGCCUGGCUGGCCGGUCCGCCUCACCGCGUGCACUGGUCCGGCCGGGCCUUUCCCUGUGUGGAACCCCAUGCCCUUCACUGGGCGUGGCGGGGAAACAGGACUUUUACUUUGAAAAAAUUAGAGUGCUCCAGGCAGGCCUAUGCUCGAAUACAUUAGCAUGGAAUAAUAAAAUAGGACGUGCGGUUCUAUUUUGUUGGUUUCUAGGACCGCCGUAAUGAUUAAUAGGGACAGUCGGGGGCAUCAGUAUUCAAUUGUCAGAGGUGAAAUUCUUGGAUUUAUUGAAGACUAACUACUGCGAAAGCAUUUGCCAAGGAUGUUUUCUUUAAUCAGGAACGAAAGUUAGGGGAUCGAAGACG